GAGCGCGGUGGCGAGGCCGGCCACGGUCGGUGUCUCGAAGACCUCGCGGACCCCCAGUUCGACGCCGAGGGUGCUGC
RNAcentral lists this transfer RNA (77 nucleotides) under Streptomyces fulvorobeus. RNAcentral's name for it is "tRNA-Ser". Lineage: Bacteria; Bacillati; Actinomycetota; Actinomycetes; Kitasatosporales; Streptomycetaceae. The record is from RNAcentral.